UACGUAGGGGGCAAGCGUUGUCCGGAUUUAUUGGGCGUAAAGAGCUCGUAGGCGGUUCCGUAAGUCGUGAAGUCAAAUCUCUGGGCUCAACCCAGAAUCGCUUCCGAUACUGCGGUGACUGGAGUCCGGUAGGGGAGUGUGGAAUUCCUGGUGUAGCGGUGAAAUGCGCAGAUAUCAGGAGGAACACCGAUGGCGAAGGCAGCUCGCUGGGACGGUAUUGACGCUGAGACGCGAAAGCGUGGGGAGCAAACAGG
RNAcentral lists this ribosomal RNA (254 nucleotides) under uncultured bacterium. RNAcentral describes it as "partial 16S ribosomal RNA". It matches the Rfam family "Bacterial small subunit ribosomal RNA", at positions 524 to 776 of the family's 1533-position model. The record is from RNAcentral.